UACGUAGGGUGCGAGCGUUGUCCGGAAUUACUGGGCGUAAAGAGCUCGUAGGUGGUUUGUCGCGUUGUUCGUGAAAACUCACAGCUUAACUGUGGGCGUGCGGGCGAUACGGGCAGACUUGAGUACUGCAGGGGAGACUGGAAUUCCUGGUGUAGCGGUGGAAUGCGCAGAUAUCAGGAGGAACACCAGUGGCGAAGGCGGGUCUCUGGGCAGUAACUGACGCUGAGGAGCGAAAGCGUGGGGAGCGAACAGG
RNAcentral lists this ribosomal RNA (253 nucleotides) under uncultured bacterium. RNAcentral describes it as "partial 16S ribosomal RNA". It matches the Rfam family "Bacterial small subunit ribosomal RNA", at positions 524 to 776 of the family's 1533-position model. The record is from RNAcentral.